RNAcentral lists this ribosomal RNA (253 nucleotides) under uncultured bacterium. Its description in RNAcentral is "partial 16S ribosomal RNA". It matches the Rfam family "Bacterial small subunit ribosomal RNA", at positions 524 to 776 of the family's 1533-position model. The record is from RNAcentral.
UACAGAGGUCUCAACCGUUGUUCGGAUUCAUUGGGCGUAAAGGGUGCGUAGGCGGUCGCGCAAGUCGGAUGUGAAAUCUCAGGGCUCAACCCUGAAACUGCAUUCGAUACUGCGUGGCUAGAGUGCUGGAGAGGAGACUGGAAUUUACGGUGUAGCAGUGAAAUGCGUAGAUAUCGUAAGGAAGACCAGUGGCGAAGGCGAGUCUCUGGACAGCACCUGACACUGAGGCACGAAAGCUAGGGGAGCAAACAGG